UACCAGCAGUCGAAGUCGGGGAUGAAGCCUGGCUCCCAUAGGAGUCCGGGCAGAGUCCACCUGCAAUUGGCAUCAGGGGCGAAGUCCGGCUCCCGUAGGAGUCCGGAUGAAGUUUUCCUGCAGCCGGAGUUGAGAACGAGGUCCGGCACCCGUAGGAGUCCAGGCGAGGUCCACCUGCAAUUAGAGUCAGGGGCAAAGUCUGGCUCCCGUAGGAGUCCAGAUGAAGUUUACCAGC
RNAcentral lists this long non-coding RNA (235 nucleotides) under Elaeis guineensis (African oil palm). RNAcentral's name for it is "long non-coding RNA (EGUI_LNC069575)". The record is from RNAcentral. Lineage: Eukaryota; Viridiplantae; Streptophyta; Magnoliopsida; Arecales; Arecaceae.